RNAcentral lists this transfer RNA (68 nucleotides) under Marmota monax (woodchuck). Its description in RNAcentral is "tRNA.Ala". Lineage: Eukaryota; Metazoa; Chordata; Mammalia; Rodentia; Sciuridae. The record is from RNAcentral.
GGAUUGUGGCUCAGUGGUAGAGUGCUUGCCUAGCACAUGUGAGGGCCUGGAUUCGAUCCUCAGCACCA